This 26-nucleotide ribosomal RNA is filed under the name Achrophyllum dentatum. RNAcentral's name for it is "partial 18S ribosomal RNA". Lineage: Eukaryota; Viridiplantae; Streptophyta; Bryopsida; Hookeriales; Daltoniaceae. The record is from RNAcentral.
CCUGCGGAAGGAUCAUUGCACACACA